RNAcentral lists this ribosomal RNA (495 nucleotides) under uncultured bacterium. Its description in RNAcentral is "partial 16S ribosomal RNA". It matches the Rfam family "Bacterial small subunit ribosomal RNA", at positions 28 to 507 of the family's 1533-position model. The record is from RNAcentral.
GACGAACGCUGGCGGCGUGCCUAAUACAUGCAAGUAGAACGCUGAAGGAGGAGCUUGCUUCUCUGGAUGAGUUGCGAACGGGUGAGUAACGCGUAGGUAACCUGCCUGGUAGCGGGGGGUAACUAUUGGAAACGAUAGCUAAUACCGCAUAAGAGUAGAUGUCGCAUGACAUUUGCUUAAAAGGUGCAAUUGCAUCACUACCAGAUGGACCUGCGUUGUAUUAGCUAGUUGGUGAGGUAACGGCUCACCAAGGCAACGAUACAUAGCCGACCUGAGAGGGUGAUCGGCCACACUGGGACUGAGACACGGCCCAGACUCCUACGGGAGGCAGCAGUAGGGAAUCUUCGGCAAUGGACGGAAGUCUGACCGAGCAACGCCGCGUGAGUGAAGAAGGUUUUCGGAUCGUAAAGCUCUGUUGUAAGAGAAGAACGAGUGUGAGAGUGGAAAGUUCGCACUGUGACGGUAUCUUACCAGAAAGGGACGGCUAACUACGUG